AGCAGAAACACCACCAAGGACAUUUAGAAAGAAAAUAACACUAACUAGCCAAAAAGUUAAAUACUAAAAAAAACAAACCCAGGAAUUUCUAACAUUUAAAUUAUCUAAGCACCUAUUAUCUGAAGCAAUCCACAGCCGUGAUCUCAGCAGCAAUGUAGAGUUGGAAAUGUAAUUAGAUAUUUGCUGUUAAUCGCUGAAAUUUUCUACUCAUUGUACCUUUACCACAUUAUGUCACAGUCGCUGUGAUUUGGUUUUUUAGCUCAUUUCCUCCUGUAUCAGCAAGGAACACUUCAGAAUUUUCCUCUGCAGCCACGAGAGGAGAGAGAUGACAUGUGUUGUUAUUGCGUCUCACAGAUCAGCCGAGCGCAGGCGUAGCUCCGUGGUAGUGAGUCUGCCAGGACUCGAGGUGUUCCCUGGAGACCUCCUGGUCUCAGACGGUGCCAUGGACUACCUGCCUCACGCAGCCCUCCUGCUAAGCACAGAGUCCAAAAAGCCAAGGUGGCCAUUUGCCAAAAGAGGAGUUGGUAAAGACAAACAGAAGCAAGCAUCUGAUCUGGAAAACUGUCUUUCAACCAUUAAGAUGAUAGACUGC
This 592-nucleotide long non-coding RNA is filed under the name Calidris pygmaea (Spoon-billed sandpiper). Its description in RNAcentral is "lncRNA (ENSCPGG00000002668.1)". The record is from RNAcentral. Lineage: Eukaryota; Metazoa; Chordata; Aves; Charadriiformes; Scolopacidae.